This is a long non-coding RNA of Tripterygium wilfordii, 1060 nucleotides long. RefSeq lists it as uncharacterized. The transcript has 3 exons. NCBI's taxonomy places the organism in Eukaryota, Viridiplantae, Streptophyta, Magnoliopsida, Celastrales, Celastraceae. The record is from RefSeq and is a predicted model, not a curated record.
CUCAUAGCAAACAAUUCUCCGGUCUCGCACAAGGAUCUGGUCUCAUCAACACCAUGAUCCACAGAAAUUACAUUCUAUAGUCAUCAAAGUUUUCAAGAAAUUUGAUGCCCAGUCAUGAACACAGAGUUCAGUAUCGAGGAGAUCGGGAAAUAGAAGAAGGAAAGCAACUGUUGAGCAGGGGUGUAUGGUAUGUAGAUCUACUGGCAGAGAGUUCAGUAUCCAGGGAAUCGGGAAAUAGAAGAAGGAAAGCAACACAUGGAGAGAGACACUCAUCAUCAUCAUCAUCUCACCAGUUCUUAUUCAAAGCUUACUUAUUUCCAGUUCUUAUUCAAAGCUUACUUAUUUCCAUUGGAUUUGAGGAAGCUUAUUUAUUUUUUUUUCAUUCCAAUACAGAGCCAUUGAUCAAUAGAGAGCUUCUCGCAGUCAAGAUCAGGAUUUAGGGCCAUGAAUUUGUCUAGCGCCAAACCUAACUUACUUGUAAUAUCGAUGCAGGUGUCUCCAAUUUCGACCAUGCCCACCACCGUGCAUGGAGGGGCACCGUUUACGCCUGCCAGCUUAACUGCAUAAUUCAACACCCAAUAAUAUGAAGAUAACGCGUCUCAUCGCAUUUUAUUAGAGGCCAAGAAAUGAUAAUUCAAAGACUUACAGCUUUCAGCAACAGAGGAAAUGAGCAGAAAAGACAGCAUCAAGAAGAGAAGGAAAGUUUCAACUAUGGGAUUAUAUCAAGGAUUGUUCCACGUAAUGGCGGAUUGGCCUAUGACAAAACAGGACAAGUUAUGGGAUCAUGAUUAAGUCAUUGUUGCUAUUUGCUAGGUUUUCAGUUGGGAUUAGCUUGAUCUAAUAAACUCUUGAGCAUCUGUAUUCCUUGGGAUCAUAAGUUAUGGGAUCAUUGUUGCUAUUUACGACGUGGAUUUUACAGACUCCAAACCACUCAACAUUUUCAUAUUUUUUCAAUGUGUGACUUCUUGUGUGGGUUACAACAUUCUCCAAGCAUACAUAGCAAUUAUUAAAUGCAAACAAUUGAUGUAUAUCAAAUUCCCUAAAAAAAAAAAAAAAAAAA